RNAcentral lists this ribosomal RNA (409 nucleotides) under uncultured soil bacterium. RNAcentral's name for it is "bacterial SSU rRNA". It matches the Rfam family "Bacterial small subunit ribosomal RNA", at positions 26 to 438 of the family's 1533-position model. The record is from RNAcentral.
AGAUUGAACGCUAGCGGGAUGCUUUACACAUGCAAGUCGAACGGCAGCGCGGACUUCGGUCUGGCGGCGAGUGGCGAACGGGUGAGUAAUAUAUCGGAACGUGCCCAGUAGCGGGGGAUAACUACGCGAAAGCGUGGCUAAUACCGCAUACGCCCUACGGGGGAAAGGGGGGAUUCUUCGGAACCUCUCACUAUUGGAGCGGCCGAUAUCAGAUUAGCUAGUUGGUGAGGUAAAGGCUCACCAAGGCGACGAUCUGUAGCUGGUUUGAGAGGACGACCAGCCACACUGGGACUGAGACACGGCCCAGACUCCUACGGGAGGCAGCAGUGGGGAAUUUUGGACAAUGGGGGAAACCCUGAUCCAGCCAUCCCGCGUGUGCGAUGAAGGCCUCGGUGUUAAGACACUUUGU